Long non-coding RNA from Erigeron canadensis, 1016 nucleotides. RefSeq lists it as uncharacterized. The transcript has 3 exons. The record is from RefSeq and is a predicted model, not a curated record. Lineage: Eukaryota; Viridiplantae; Streptophyta; Magnoliopsida; Asterales; Asteraceae.
CGAUCGUCCGGGUGAUUCCGAUCCUUCUCAUUGUCAUUAGAAUUCACACACAAAUGAGCAUAUUCUGAUCCUGCGUCGUGCCUUCAUCAAUCUUUCUCUUGAUUACGAUCAAUUAUAUUUGUAUCAUGACAUAACAUAAAGAUCAACAAAAGAUCUGAAUAAGAUUUAUAGGAAAAAAGAUCGGAUAUGGGCGUGGUGAUGGCACCGAAGAUGGGGUGGUGAUCGCGCUGCAGAUCGGAAUCUCGGAUAUGGAGUGGUGAUGGCGCUGCAAAUCAGGCUUACGAGACGAGUAAACAGAAGAGACCAUCAUAAAAAAAGAAAAAAAUGCAGCAUCACUGUUUUUACGCUGCUUUAAACUGGGAAGUAUGGAAAGAAGCUCCUAUACAUAUGGAUGGAUAUAUCCAUGGAGGAAAUAAUCCAUGAAGAACGACUCUUCAACACUGGUGGAUAUCAAAAAGGUGCCUUUUCAAUUCAUUUUGGUCAACGGGGAGUAAAUUUUGUAAAUCAUUUGACAAGUGAUCGAUGUUAAGGGAUGGAAUACGGAGAAAGUUUUUUAUUCUUGCGGUUAUUAAGGUUCGUUCAUCAUCAUAAUUAUCAUUAAUCGCCUGAAUGUUUCGAGUUUUGGAUUCUUGAGGUUUACUAACAUUAAUCCGCAUCUUUGGUACAUUUUAAGAUCGUGCUUACUGUUGGAACCACUAAAUAUGCAUCAUGGGAUAGGUAAUUAAAGUUGAUUAUACUAAAUAUUUUAAUUUUCUAAUUUAUAACCAUGAAACUCUUGAUUUUAUAUUGUUGUUGCAUACAAAUGUAGAACGUUGGUGAAGUGUGAAACAGAACAUUGCGGUUUGCAAUUAUAAACGCCUUCUGACAAAGGCAUAGGAGUGACACUCUUUUACUUAACAUUUUUCUGUAAAUACUUUGUCAUUUUUGUUUUAAUAGAUUUCUACGAAAUUCUGAAUGCCCAACAAUGCAAAUGAUUCAAUCGUGAUGUUCAUUUGUGAUUGCUUAUUUUUUCUCUA